CUAAAGGAGGCCUCUGAAAAUGCUUCCGCUUGAAGAUGAGCUUGCGUCUGAUUAGCUAGUUGGUGAGGGUAAAGGCCCACCAAGGCGACGAUCAGUAGCCGGUCUGAGAGGAUGAACGGCCACAUUGGGACUGAGACACGGCCCAGACUCCUGCGGGAGGCAGCAGUGGGGAAUCUUCCGCAAUGGGCGAAAGCCUGACGGAGCAACGCCGCGUGAACGAUGAAGGUCUUAGGAUCGUAAAGUUCUGUUGUUAGGGACGAAGGGUAAGGAUCAUAAUAAGGUUUUUAUUUGACGGUACCUAACGAGGAAGCCACGGCUAACUACGUGCCAGCAGCCGCGGUAAUACGUAGGCGGCAAGCGUUGUCCGGAAUUAUUGGGCGUAAAGGGAGCGCAGGCGGGAAACUAAGCGGAUCUUAAAAGUGCGGGGCUCAACCCCGUGAUGGGGUCCGAACUGGUUUUCUUGAGUGCAGGAGAGGAAAGCGGAAUUCCCAGUGUAGCGGUGAAAUGCGUAGAUAUUGGGAAGAACACCAGUGGCGAAGGCGGCUUUCUGGACUGUAACUGACGCUGAGGCUCGAAAGCUAGGGUAGCGAACGGGAUUAGAUACCCCGGUAGUCCUAGCCGUAA
This 624-nucleotide ribosomal RNA is filed under the name uncultured bacterium. Its description in RNAcentral is "bacterial SSU rRNA". It matches the Rfam family "Bacterial small subunit ribosomal RNA", at positions 201 to 805 of the family's 1533-position model. The record is from RNAcentral.